AUGCUCCUCAACUGCAUUCAACUGCAUUUACUUACUUCAGCAAAAUCUUCCAAAUAUUCAGAAACUCUUUUCUUCUGUCUUUCAACUCUGACAUGGGUCCCUCCAGGCGUGGAGAAGAUUAAGGAAGAAAAGUCAAGGUCGGCACCAGUACAAUCUGGAGCUGGUUUUUCCUGGUAUUUGCAGAUGUCUCCAGCCACCUCUCGCUGGGAGGGAUGACCAAAACCGACUCCUUUCCUUGGAUGGCUUGUGUGGGUGCUUCAGUCUCGCCGGAGAACAACCAAGGAGACUUAUCUAGACAGCAGCAACAGAUUUUUCUCAGAUAGGCUGCUCAUGUGCGGUCCUUCCAGCGGUACUGCGGGGACCUCUUCCACAGAAUUUGAACGGCCCCAGAACAGCUCUCUCGUUUGGGGCUCACCUCUGGCCCACAAGGAACACUCCAAUGCAUGCUCGCCCCCACCACUGGCACCCAAUUCAUCUGCCUUAGAAGGAUCAGAGCCAAGGCCUCCUGCCUUUAGUCCUCAGAUGUAUACCUAGCUUCUCUGAUUUCCCUAAAAGCUGAUUUAUUCCCCAUCUCAGUGCUUCAGGAAGGCUGGUUGGUGCUCUUUCUCUGAUCCUCCAGCGCCCUCUACUGGGCCUUCACUUACCCAACAUCUUCACAAUCAGGUAAGACGCCUUCUUUCAGAGAGCACUCAUACACAGUGGCUGUUUUCCUGACCCAACCCUCGCUGGUACAUUCUUAUGUAGGUGGCGCUACAGGAAUACAUCUGUUAGAUCCUGUAACUUGUCCCUGAGGCUAACUGGAAAAGAAGUGAGGUUCCACAAAGAAGGAGAAAACAGACACUGAGGUCUGCUUGAGGGGUGAGGGUGGGAAGAGGGAGAGGAACAGAAAAGACAGUAUUAGGUACUGAGCUUAAUAUCUGGGUGAUGUAAUAAUCUGUACAACAAACCCCCAUGACAUAAUUUUAACCAUGUAACAAACCUUCACAUGUGCCCCCAAACCUGAAAUAAUUUUUUUCAAGUGAGGUUCCCUAUAAUGUGUCCCUUAACUGUCCAAAAAUAAAGCUCAAUGGGCAUCUAAGCUGUCAGCCAUGGCAUCAAUAGUAAGGGACAGUUCCAGUGGCAUCUCCUCUGACAUAUUUGAAGUAUAUAAUUGGAAUGCCAUGUGCUAGCUCCAUUAUCUCUUCUGGUCAAGGGGAAAUAUCCUCGAUGUAUUUUGCAGAGUUCAGUAAAUCUAUCAGGAUAGGGGUCUUCCUGGGAAGUAGCUCCAGUUACCUCUACAAAGACUAACUGAAACCCUUCCAAAAGCAGUUGGUUUUCACUGGAAGAUCUCCGUCAGCGUGCCUGACGACUUGGUGCAUCCUACUAAUCCAAGAUAUAAACUUGUGCAUGAUGGGUAAAUGUAUCCAAUACUACAAAUUUAUCUUCUAGAUACCAACUAUUGGAUUCUAAUUCUUUCCACCAACUCCAGAGCUCUCAGGAUAAGCUGGCCAUUUCACUAGACUUAGGAGGCACACAGCUCACAUUUGAAAUGGCAUCUUCUGCCAUUUGGGGCCAAAAGGAGUGUUAUUAUCCAACACCAAGGCAAAGGAGAUUAAAUAUUUCAUGCAACAUGCUGUGAGGGCCACGUGCAUCACCACCAUCUGCAGUGCUUAAUGAAUAUUAAGCACUCUGUGCCCACCUCAAACAGACAGAACGAGAAUUUCUCUUGGAUGCAGGAAACUACGUAUUGAAGAAACACUCCAGGUAAUCCUCUUGCACAACCAAAUUUCAGAAUCCUGAGGUAGAUAAUCAGAGAAGUCAACACCAGAGGAAUUACACUGUUUAACCUCAUUUUUCUUUAAACCUUUGUUCCUGACUUCUUUGCCAGAUGGCCUCACGCUCUCCCUUUUUACAUUCAAGGCUGACCUUAACAAUGAAAAGCAAAGGUACUGCUGACAGAACCAUGAGAAAGAAGAGCUAGAAAAGAUUUACAAAGAAGGAUGAGAGACAUAAUAUUCCCACUUACAACAUGGAGCAUUAAAGGAUGCCAUUUACAGGUGUUGAAACAAUACAAAAGUAAGCGUAUCAUUUAUAGCUACCAAGGUCAUCGUAAAGAUCUGAAGUAACAAAUAAAAGUGCAUUUGGCAAGGGCAGCAAUAGUCUUAAGCAAGCUAAAUCUAUAGCACAAUUUUUGAACCACAGAUAUGUAUUAUUUUCUAAAAGUGUUUAUAUAUCCUUUUCAAAAUAAAUUUUACUACCCAUACUGAUAGACAAUAAAUUCUAAUAUUUUGUG
Long non-coding RNA from Macaca mulatta (Rhesus monkey), 2272 nucleotides. The record is from Ensembl. NCBI's taxonomy places the organism in Eukaryota, Metazoa, Chordata, Mammalia, Primates, Cercopithecidae.